CACAUCACCACAACGCACCGAGUCCGGAAAACUAGUGACCCGGAAGGGAAAAGAAUUGCCGUACAAAAUGGCUCAGGGGCCGCAGCCUUCCCUUACUCCCUGGGGGACGACAUUUUCUAAUAGCUAAUCCCGCGCCCUUCGGCCUCCGAGGCCAGUCGUACCGUCCUUGGCACCAGGUCUAUGGCGACUCCAAGGGGGGCGGGGGGACCCCAGACGAGGGAAGUUCUUGCCGCCCGAGGAUAAAAUGGCGGCUCCACAGCGGAUCCGGGCUAGAAACACCCGAAUCAGAAGGUUACUGUCCGUGGCUUCAAGAAAACAUGCCUCUUUUCUUAGAAAAUCAUCUCCGACUUAGAAUUGAAAUGAGCUCCCAGGGUGGGCAUCGCGUCUAACCUAACAGGGCUUGAUGCAGUCCCGUUGGGCCCCAUGGAUCAUCAAUAAAAUGUCCAUAAAGAUCA
Ornithorhynchus anatinus (platypus) is the source of this 455-nucleotide long non-coding RNA. RefSeq lists it as uncharacterized. The transcript has 2 exons. The record is from RefSeq and is a predicted model, not a curated record. Lineage: Eukaryota; Metazoa; Chordata; Mammalia; Monotremata; Ornithorhynchidae.